GUGAUAUUGCGGCACCCUGGCCAAGAUUUACAGUAAAUAGGAAUACUUAAAAAAAAAAGGACAUUUUGUAUAAAUGAAUAAACCUAGUUUUACAGCUAGCUGCAUAUUUCAUUUGUAUGCAAGUUGCAUUAAAUCUCAUUAAACUGAAUAAAACUAAAAGACACAAUAGGUAAAAGUCAGUGACAAUAAAAGGAAAAGAGCAGUCAACAUAGUGUAACAAUUCGACAUAGUAUAUAAAAAUAUAAAUAACUACGUAGGACAACAGGGUAAUUUAAUAGUCUAACAACCCCUGAUAACAUACAAAGAGAGAAAAAAAACAUACUAGGAAACAUAUUCAAAAAAUCAUAACACUAUAACUAACUGGUGGGAUGUAUAAAUACCGAGCUGCGUCAAAGAGUAUUCAUCAAAAUACACAUAGAAAGAAACAAAGGUGAAGGUAAACCGCAAACAUAUAAUUAAACUCAAAACAUUAAAGAGUAUGGAAAAGCCUUGGUCUGACAAGCGAAAAGCGUCGAUAAGACGCACAUCAGUAAAUAAAAGUUCAAACCAUAACCAGGAUGGAGUACCACAAACCCCAC
This 578-nucleotide long non-coding RNA is filed under the name Mytilus galloprovincialis (Mediterranean mussel). Lineage: Eukaryota; Metazoa; Mollusca; Bivalvia; Mytilida; Mytilidae. The record is from RNAcentral.